GCGCCCGUAGCUCAACUGGAUAGAGCAACGGUCUUCGGAACCGUAGGUUGGGGGUUCGAUUCCCUCCGGGCGCG
This 74-nucleotide transfer RNA is filed under the name Pseudomonadota bacterium. RNAcentral describes it as "tRNA-Arg". It matches the Rfam family "tRNA". Rfam says of the family: Transfer RNA (tRNA) molecules are approximately 80 nucleotides in length. Lineage: Bacteria; Pseudomonadati; Pseudomonadota. The record is from RNAcentral. RNAcentral also lists the same sequence under 1 other name.